Molecule: ribosomal RNA, 301 nt
Filed under: uncultured bacterium
Lineage: Bacteria
Description: partial 16S ribosomal RNA
Rfam family: Bacterial small subunit ribosomal RNA
Source: RNAcentral
CAGCCGCCGCGGUAACACGAAGGGUGCAAGCGUUACUCGGAAUUACUGGGCGCAAAGCGUGCGUAGGUGGUGGUUUAAGUCCGUUGUGAAAGCCCUGGGCUCAACCUGGGAAUUGCAGUGGAUACUGGGUCACUAGAGUGUGGUAGAGGAUAGUGGAAUUUCCGGUGUAGCAGUGAAAUGCGUAGAGAUCGGAAGGAACAUCUGUGGCGAAGGCGACUAUCUGGGCCAACACUGACACUGAGGCACGAAAGCGUGGGGAGCAAACAGGAUUAGAUACCCCGGUAGUCCCUGUCUCUUAUAA